UACGCAGGGUGCGAGCGGUAAUCGGAAUUACUGGGCGUAAAGCGUGCGCAGGCGGCUUUGCAAGACAGAUGUGAAAUCCCCGGGCUCAACCUGGGAACUGCUUUCAAAACCGCUGAGCUAGAGUACGGUAGAGGGUGGUGGAAUUUCCGGUGUAGCGGUGAAAUGCGUAGAUAUAGGAAGGAACACCAGUGGCGAAGGCAAUCCCCUGGGCCUGUACUGACGCUCAUGCACGAAAGCGUGGGGAGCAAACAGG
This 253-nucleotide ribosomal RNA is filed under the name uncultured bacterium. RNAcentral describes it as "partial 16S ribosomal RNA". It matches the Rfam family "Bacterial small subunit ribosomal RNA", at positions 524 to 776 of the family's 1533-position model. The record is from RNAcentral.